AGGUGCGAUCAUACCGGCACUAAUGCACUGGAUCCCAUCAGAAGUCCGAAGUUAAGCGUGCAUGGGCGAGAAUAGUACUAAGAUGGGCCUUGUCACAGGACUUU
Molecule: ribosomal RNA, 104 nt
Filed under: Cephalotus follicularis
Lineage: Eukaryota; Viridiplantae; Streptophyta; Magnoliopsida; Oxalidales; Cephalotaceae
Source: RNAcentral